AGCCAUUUCUCAAUACACUGUUCCUUAAUUCAUUUGCUUAAUAUAUCUGCUCUUCAAUCUCUGUUUGCCAUGAGACAGGUUAUCCCAUUAUCUGUUCUUGAAAUUCUAGCUUGUUGAGAUGCUCAUAGAAGUUGGAAAUAAUGGAGGGUAAUUACUUUUUAUUUGAAGAUUCAAAAAGGUCAUUGGGUAUCCCUAAUCUCGCUCAAGAAUCAGCAUAGUACAGCUGAAGAUGAAUUACUUGUACCUUUGGGUGCUACGGCAUCACAUCGUCCACACUCUCAUUUUUCCUUUUCUUUUUGGUUUUUCCCCCUUCUCUUCUUUAUUUUUUUUUCCCAUGAUGAUGCAUGCAGUCAACCGUAAUCCACAUGCCACGAUAGGGCGGAACACGUGGACAUUCUGUAUAUUGGGUAAUACCUCCCCCUUCUCUUAGAACCUUUUAAAUAGAUUAUGUUUAUCCCGAAAAGACAAAAAAACACAGGCAUGUAAUAUUCUGUCAUGUAAAAUGCAUUUCCAAAUAGCGAGAGAUUAAAAGCAAUAAUUCCAUACCUCUGAAGCUAAUUACAACUACUUUCUAAUCAUAACUCGUAGAAAUA
RNAcentral lists this unclassified non-coding RNA (593 nucleotides) under Hevea brasiliensis (rubber tree). Lineage: Eukaryota; Viridiplantae; Streptophyta; Magnoliopsida; Malpighiales; Euphorbiaceae. The record is from RNAcentral.